Haemonchus placei is the source of this 74-nucleotide non-coding RNA. The record is from Rfam. Lineage: Eukaryota; Metazoa; Nematoda; Chromadorea; Rhabditida; Trichostrongylidae.
GGCACAAACUUGAAGUAGAAUAGUUGGGUAUGGUCAGCUGAUCCUACUAUCCACUCUACUUCAAGUUUGUGCUC